Molecule: ribosomal RNA, 1016 nt
Filed under: uncultured soil eukaryote
Lineage: Eukaryota
Description: SSU rRNA
Rfam family: Eukaryotic small subunit ribosomal RNA
Source: RNAcentral
CCAGUAGUCAUAUGCUUGUCUCAAGGAUUAAGCCAUGCAUGUCUAAGUAUAACCGGAUUAACCGGUGAAACUGCGGAAGGCUCAUUAAAUCAGUUAUAAUCUAUUUGAUAUAUGGGCAACCAGGGAUAACUGUAGUAAUUCUAGAGCUAAUACAUGUAAAUAACCCUGAUCGUAAGGUCAGGGAGCAUACGCCGACGACAAAUCUGACCGUAUUGGGCAACUGAUACGACUCAAGGUGAAUCUAGGCGGAUUAGCUGACCGCAUUGCCUAGAGCAGGCGGCAAUACAUUCGAGUUUCUGCCCUAUCAGCUUUGACGGUAAGGUAUUGGCCUACCGUGGCGAUAACGGGUGACGGGGAAUUAGGGUUCGAUUCCGGAGAGGGUGCCUGAGAAAUGGCAACUACUUCCAAGGAAGGCAGCAGGCGCGCAAAUUACCCAAUACCAAUUCGGUGAGGUAGCGACAAAAAAUAACGAUGCCGGUCAAAUUUGACUGGCAAUCGGAAUGAGUCUAUUACAAAUAGAUUAGCGAGGAUCAAUUGGAGGGCAAGUCUGGUGCCAGCAGCCGCGGUAAUUCCAGCUCCAAUAGCGUAUAUUAAAGUUGUUGCAGUUAAAAAGCUCGUAGUCGGAUUUGUCCUGGUCAAUUAACCGAGUAGGGCGGGAGCCCAUACCGGUAGUUACCAGGUAUUACGUCAAGAACAUCCGUACUCUGCCCUUAACUGAGUGGAGUCGGGACUUGACCGAUUACUUUGAAAAAAUUAGAGUGUUCAAAGCGGGUAAUUUUACCCAGAAUAUUUUAGCAUGGGAUAACAAAAUAAGGCUUCGGUAUAAUUUUGUUGGGUUAUUAACCGAGCAAUGAUUAAUAGAGAUAGUUUGGGGUGUUCAUAUUCCCCGGGGAGAGGUGAAAUUCUUGGAUCCGGGGAAGAUGUACUUAUGCGAAAGCAUUCACCAGGGAUGUUUUCAUUGAUCAAGAACGAAAGUUAGGGGAUCGAAGACGAUCAGAUACCGUCGUAGUCUUAAC